GAUGAAGAACGCAGCGAAAUGCGAUAAGUAAUGUGAAUUGCAGAAUUCAGUGAAUCAUCGAAUCUUUGAACGCACAUUGCGCCCCCUGGUAUUCCGGGGGGCAUGCCUGUCCGAGCGUCAUUGCUGCCCUCAAGCACGGCUUGUGUGUUGGGCCCCGCCCCCCGGCUCCCGGGGGGCGGGCCCGAAAGGCAGCGGCGGCACCGCGUCCGGUCCUCGAGCGUAUGGGGCUUCGUCACCCGCUCCGUAGGCCCGGCCGGCGCCCGCCGGCGACCCCCCUCAAUCUUUUCAGGUUGACCUCGGAUCAGGUAGGGAUACCCGCUGAACUUAAGCAUAUCAAUAAGCGGAGGA
This 348-nucleotide unclassified non-coding RNA is filed under the name soil metagenome. RNAcentral describes it as "partial contains 5.8S ribosomal RNA, internal transcribed spacer 2, and large subunit ribosomal RNA". The stretch from base 1 to 120 matches the Rfam family "5.8S ribosomal RNA", at positions 35 to 154 of the family's 154-position model. The record is from RNAcentral.